CUUACUUCCUGCCUGGGUGCAUUGAUUUUAUUUCCAUUAUCCAUAAUAUUUUAUUCAUGUAAUUAUCAGGACUGUCUUCCAUCAGGAAUACAUCUGCUCUGUGUGUACAGGUGUACAUCAGUGUCUGUAGUGAUAUAUACUGAGGUUGGUUCGCAUACAGAAGCACACCAACACCGUUACAGAGGGUGAGCACAAGGCAGAAACCCACUAUGAAAUGGUGGGGCCAUCCUGCAUUACACCUGAUCUCCACAUGAAUGCUGAGCUUUGCUGGAGGUGUGGCAGAGGCAGCCACAUUGUCCCACUGAAGGAGCACUGUGAGGGAACAGCAGUGGCUCCUGGCAACAGCCUGGAACUGUGCAGAGGAACUGUUGGAUAAUGUCUUGAAAUAUCCUCAGGAGGUUCUUGUAAGGAGAGGAAGAUUAAAAAAAGCAGAGAAAGGUAUUGCAGCACUGAGCUCUCACGGGAUCUACUCCUAUCAGGGAACAUUAUCGGUGCUUGCCCCAGGAGAGGACAAAGAAGAGGAAGUUCACCCUGCCAGCCUUCGCCCAAGGGUCAGUGCAGCUGCAAGCCCUGCUCUCAGGAGAACAGCACUCAGUGCCCCUGGAAGGAGGGAGGUAGGAUCCGGCAUGGCCGUGAUGCUUGCAGAUAGAAAGGAGCUGAGAAGAGGGGGUUGCAGCCACAGUGCUCAGAGAAGGCUACAUGUAUGCUAGAAGACGUUUCAUUUGCUUCUGCUUUUUUGAAAAACAAAAAAAGAAAUAAACUGAAAGUAAAUCAAAAUAAACAUUCCAGCUUCUACGAGUUCACUGAAAAACAGCCCAGCUGUAAUAACAACAAAUCAUACACAGUGCACAGCUCAUUUUUCCUUCUGUAGGUUAACCAGAGAAGGUCACAGCAAUCAUGUUUAAUAAAAGAAGUCUUGCCUUA
This is a non-coding RNA of Phasianus colchicus (ring-necked pheasant), 924 nucleotides long. The record is from RefSeq and is a predicted model, not a curated record. NCBI's taxonomy places the organism in Eukaryota, Metazoa, Chordata, Aves, Galliformes, Phasianidae.